AGCGAACGCUGGCGGCAGGCUUAACACAUGCAAGUCGAGCGCCCCGCAAGGGGAGCGGCAGACGGGAGAGUAACACGUGGGAACAUACCUCUUGGUUCGGAACAACUGAGGGAAACUUCAGCUAAUACCGGAUAAGCCCUUACGGGGAAAGAUUUAUCGCCGAAAGAUUGGCCCGCGUCUGAUUAGCUAGUUGGUGAGGUAACGGCUCACCAAGGCGACGAUCAGUAGCUGGUCUGAGAGGAUGAUCAGCCUCACUGGGACUGAGACACGGCCCAGACUCCUACGGGAGGCAGCAGUGGGGAAUAUUGGACAAUGGGGGCAACCCUGAUCCAGCCAUGCCGCGUGAGUGAUGAAGGCCUUAGGGUUGUAAAGCUCUUUUGCCCGGGAAGAUAAUGACGGUACCGGGAGAAUAAGCCCCGGCUAACUUCGUG
Molecule: ribosomal RNA, 431 nt
Filed under: uncultured bacterium
Lineage: Bacteria
Description: partial 16S ribosomal RNA
Rfam family: Bacterial small subunit ribosomal RNA
Source: RNAcentral